Molecule: ribosomal RNA, 433 nt
Filed under: uncultured bacterium
Lineage: Bacteria
Description: partial 16S ribosomal RNA
Rfam family: Bacterial small subunit ribosomal RNA
Source: RNAcentral
AACGAACGCUGGCGGCAUGCCUAACACAUGCAAGUCGAACGAGACCUUCGGGUCUAGUUGCGCACGGGUGCGUAACGCGUGGGAACCUUCCCUUAGGUUCGGAAUAACUCCCCGAAAGGGGUGCUAAUACCGGAUAAUGUCUUCGGACCAAAGAUUUAUCGCCUUUGGAUGGGCCCGCGUUGGAUUAGCUAGUUGGUAGGGUAAAAGCCUACCAAGGCGACGAUCCAUAGCUGGUCUGAGAGGAUGAUCAGCCACACUGGGACUGAGACACGGCCCAGACUCCUACGGGAGGCAGCAGUGGGGAAUAUUGGACAAUGGGCGAAAGCCUGAUCCAGCAAUGCCGCGUGAGUGAUGAAGGCCUUAGGGUUGUAAAGCUCUUUUAGCCGGGAUGAUAAUGACAGUACCGGGAGAAUAAGCUCCGGCUAACUACGUG